This 1349-nucleotide long non-coding RNA is filed under the name Nicotiana tabacum (common tobacco). RNAcentral's name for it is "long non-coding RNA (NTAB_LNC018424)". Lineage: Eukaryota; Viridiplantae; Streptophyta; Magnoliopsida; Solanales; Solanaceae. The record is from RNAcentral.
UUUUGAAACCUGUCCCUCCAAUUUUUUCGACAUCAAUCACCUUUUCCCUCCAAUACUUUUUAGGUCUUCAUUGUAUAUCACGAAAUUAUUUCAGUAGACACUGUAAAGGCUCUCAUUUUCCUGCUGCCCAACUAAUCUCUGUCUCGCCAUCACCAGCAACCAUCCUAGGUAACUUCAUUGUCUCUCUCUUUCUCUCUCGAUACUCUCUAUAUACCUAUUUUCACAGAUGGGGGAUAGCCUAUCCACAAUGAAUUGAGACUUGAGAGAUGUUUCUUGCAAAAAAUAAAAAUAUUUUUUCAGUUAUGAAGCCCUUAUCUUGAGGUUCAUGAUGGAGAACGAAAUAUGCGAAUUGAUAUCAUACAUGUAAUUUUAUUAUCGCCAUAUUAAAUGCUAAACUCUUGCAAUUGAAAUCUGAUUAUUGUUCUUCGUACGGUGGUUAAUCUUCUUGUGCUUUUGCAUUCAUGUGUUUGAUUUAAUGAUAUUUUUAUUUGCUUCCAUGGUUAUUUUACUUCCGAUAUUGCGAAAAUAUAUUUUGUAAUUUAGGUGUUCGAUAAAAUGCUUUUGUAGACUUUCUAACUCUUGCCUUCCAUUUUUAUGUUGAUUUUAAGUGUUUUGUAAAUCUUUUAUUAUUUAAUAUUGUUUGAUAGUUGAACAUUUUUCCAAUAUCAAGUGCUUCAAAUGAUGUGGAGGUGAUAGGAGCUAUAAAAUUGGCUAAAAGUAUUAAAACUUGGAUAUUUCCUAUUACUCCUAUUUUAAUUGUCCAUCUGUCUCUUCUAGCUGCAUUGCUUUUGAGUCUUUUGGGUUAAUGUAUUUGAUCAUAAUUUCAUGUUGUUGGUAGGUAAGAAUGCAAAUUAGUUCUUUUUCAUCAAUCUAAAAAGCAUAUUCACACUUUCCUUCUUGGUCUUCUUACGAUUGGUUUUCGUCUUUUAGCUAAUUAUUUAUUUAUUUAUCUUACAUUUUCAUCAAUUCUACAGAAUACAAUGACAAUUCUUGGGGCCAAAGUUAUCAGAAGAUAGGAUAAUAAGAAGAACAUUGACGAUGAUGCAUUAGAUGUUGUUGAGAAUGAUAUUUCAAUGGGUAUCUAGUUUGAUUGAGGUCAUCGAUUUUAAUUAUAGUUAUUUUUUUUAUAUUUAAAAUUUCCUUGCCAUAUGGAGUGUAUAUGUGGAUUAGAAGAUUGUUAUGGUUUAAUUUAGUACUUAUCAUACACACACACACACACACACAUAUAUAUAUAUAUAUAUAUAUAUAUAGAGAGAGAGAGAGAGAGAGAGAGAGAGAGAGAGUACUAACGUUAUUUGCCUCUGAUAGCUCAAUCAUUAAGUGAGUAGUUCCAUUAUUUGUUAUGCCNN